AUGAAGACGAGACUGGGCAUGGGAUUGGACAUAGUGUUAAAUUCCAAUGGUCAGACAGUGUUGGGUGCAGCCAUGGCUGUGAAUUCUCAAUCCUUCUCUUUUGAUACUGCAGCAACUGUUUCAGCAGAGUCAGUGCCCAGUCCAGCGUCCC
This is a long non-coding RNA of Xyrauchen texanus (razorback sucker), 151 nucleotides long. RefSeq lists it as uncharacterized. The transcript has 3 exons. The record is from RefSeq and is a predicted model, not a curated record. Lineage: Eukaryota; Metazoa; Chordata; Actinopteri; Cypriniformes; Catostomidae.